RNAcentral lists this ribosomal RNA (254 nucleotides) under uncultured bacterium. RNAcentral's name for it is "partial 16S ribosomal RNA". It matches the Rfam family "Bacterial small subunit ribosomal RNA", at positions 526 to 779 of the family's 1533-position model. The record is from RNAcentral.
CGAAGGGGCGUAGCGUUGCUCGGAAUUACUGGGCGUAAAGGGCGCGUAGGCGGAUAGUUUAGUCAGAGGUAAAGCCCAGGGCUCAACCUUGGAACUGCCUUUGAUACUGGCUAUCUUGAGUUCGGGAGAGGUGAGUGGAAUGCCGAGUGUAGAGGUGAAAUUCGUAGAUAUUCGGCGGAACACCAGUGGCGAAGGCGACUCACUGGCCCGAUACUGACGCUGAGGCGCGAAAGCGUGGGGAGGCAAACAGGAUU